AUAAUUAAAAGGUAUCCAACG
Molecule: non-coding RNA, 21 nt
Organism: Caenorhabditis elegans
Lineage: Eukaryota; Metazoa; Nematoda; Chromadorea; Rhabditida; Rhabditidae
Source: Ensembl